AUUACACUGAUCACGCACUAUAUUGACGACAAUUAAGGAGCACAUAUUUUGCCACCAUCCAAUAAUUUUACUGAUCACGCGUUGACAAGGGAGAUGCGGUAUCAGGUAGAGGGGUAUUUUGGACCAUCUGUUGAUUUUAUCACCUGUUGGAACUCCAAAGCGUAGUUAUAUUUAGGACAAAUUUUAAAUGCUAAACGCAGCUAUAUUUUGGGACUGAGGGAGUAUAUACAUGAGGUUACAUUACGUUUCAGGUCUCAGGUCUCGGCGUUUUUGAUCAAGAAGCAUUUCUCUUCAGAGAUUCAGGAGAGAAUUGAAUGCAUACGUUGUCCUUGACGCUUGUCUAGAUAAGCCAACUUUUUAUGCCUUUGGAUGGUUGACGACGAAUAUAUUGAUCCAGGGUCUUGAUCUGGCAAAAUUUGGCUGCAGAAUCGCUUAUUGGAAAUGAAUAGGAAAAUCAUGUGGCAUCCUAGCAUGAAGUCUGCAUUUGCAACAAUGUCUGCAGAACCCGUGAUGGGCAUUGGAUCGGAGCAGCUGAUCC
Molecule: long non-coding RNA, 538 nt
Filed under: Setaria italica (foxtail millet)
Lineage: Eukaryota; Viridiplantae; Streptophyta; Magnoliopsida; Poales; Poaceae
Description: long non-coding RNA (SITA_LNC001728)
Source: RNAcentral